AUACGUAGGGGGCGAGCGUUGUCCGGAGUGAUUGGGCGUAAAGGGCGCGUAGGCGGCUUUGCAAGUCAGUAGUGGAAGUCCAUUUUUCAAGGAUGGAAGUGCUACAGAAACUGCGGAGCUUGAGUGCAGGAGAGGUUAUCGGAAUUCCCGGUGUAGCGGUGAAAUGCGUAGAGAUCGGGAGGAACACCAGUGGCGAAGGCGGGUAACUGGACUGCAACUGACGCUGAGGCGCGAAAGUGUGGGGAGCAAACAGGAUUAGAUACCCUGGUAGUCCACACUGUAAACGAUGAAUGCUAGGUGUAGGAGGUAUCGACCCCUUCUGUGCCGCAGUAAACACAGUAAGCAUUCCGCCUGGGGAGUACGGUCGCAAGAUUAAAACUCAAAUGAAUUGACGGGG
Molecule: ribosomal RNA, 397 nt
Filed under: uncultured bacterium
Lineage: Bacteria
Description: partial 16S ribosomal RNA
Rfam family: Bacterial small subunit ribosomal RNA
Source: RNAcentral